This is a non-coding RNA of Colletotrichum orbiculare MAFF 240422, 73 nucleotides long. Lineage: Eukaryota; Fungi; Ascomycota; Sordariomycetes; Glomerellales; Glomerellaceae. The record is from Rfam.
ACCCGGAUAGUUUAAUUGGUUAAAACUUUAAUUUCAUGCAUUAAAAAUGGGAAUUCGAUUUUCCCUCCUGGUU